This 245-nucleotide ribosomal RNA is filed under the name uncultured bacterium. RNAcentral describes it as "partial 16S ribosomal RNA". It matches the Rfam family "Bacterial small subunit ribosomal RNA", at positions 524 to 768 of the family's 1533-position model. The record is from RNAcentral.
UACGUAGGUGGCGAGCGUUAUCCGGAUUUACUGGGCGUAAAGGGGGAGUAGGCGGCUCUUCAAGUCGGAUGUGAAAUCUCCUGGCUUAACUGGGAGGAGUCAUUCGAAACUGCUGAGCUAGAGUGCAGUAGAAGGAGAUGGAAUUCCCGGUGUAGUGGUGAAAUGCGCAGAUAUCGGGAGGAACACCAGUGGCGAAAGCGGUCUCCUAGGCUGUAACUGACGCUGAGGACCGAAGGCGUGGGUAG